AUGAUUUUUGCAGCGAUACAAUCUGCUGCGUCUGCUCUUGCCAGUGUUGCAGCAUGGGCAGUGCCGGUCGAAAGCAGUCCAACAGCGGCAACGGAAAGCGUUUAUCGGCUGUUGAAUGAGCUGAAACUCUUGGAAAUAGAUCGGCAGAAAGAACUAAAUAAGGCCCUUGGAAACCAAAAGUUUAUGAGAUAUUAUCUCAUGACCGAGUUCCUAUCCAUCUUAUCGUUUGUGGACUCCCUUUUUAUGGAAUAUCGCUGUUACUAUGAUGCAAUGAAUACAAUGAUCCAUUCCAGUGAGGAAUCCGAAGCUUCUCGGAAGGCCAUAGAGAUCAUCAAACGGUCUACGCAGCGGGCAUUUCAACUCAAUGAAUUCAUAAGGACGAAGGGUGAAAAGCUCUCCCCACCCAAAUUGAACGUGAUCGGUCGAACGGACCACUUACAAGCUUUAUUUAAAAGCUCUCUCGAGAAAAACGAAGAGAUUGAGGCACAGUUGCGCCCUAAAUUCUCCGGAUCUUCGCUCAAAAAACACUUAAAGGAUGUGCCGUAUCUGCCGGAAGGAGGAGGUGGAAAUAAUAACGAUCCAGAUAAUCAAUAA
This 594-nucleotide long non-coding RNA is filed under the name Bemisia tabaci. RNAcentral's name for it is "lncRNA ENSSSA1NGG003883". The record is from RNAcentral. Lineage: Eukaryota; Metazoa; Arthropoda; Insecta; Hemiptera; Aleyrodidae.